RNAcentral lists this ribosomal RNA (254 nucleotides) under uncultured bacterium. RNAcentral's name for it is "partial 16S ribosomal RNA". It matches the Rfam family "Bacterial small subunit ribosomal RNA", at positions 524 to 776 of the family's 1533-position model. The record is from RNAcentral.
UACGGGGGGGGCAAGCGUUGUUCGGAAUUACUGGGCGUAAAGGGCUCGUAGGCGGCCAACUAAGUCAGACGUGAAAUCCCUCGGCUUAACCGGGGAACUGCGUCUGAUACUGGAUGGCUCGAGUUUGGGAGAGGGAUGCGGAAUUCCAGGUGUAGCGGUGAAAUGCGUAGAUAUCUGGAGGAACACCGGUGGCGAAGGCGGCAUCCUGGACCAACACUGACGCUGAGUGAGCGAAAGCCAGGGGAGCAAACAGG